RNAcentral lists this ribosomal RNA (253 nucleotides) under uncultured bacterium. RNAcentral describes it as "partial 16S ribosomal RNA". It matches the Rfam family "Bacterial small subunit ribosomal RNA", at positions 524 to 776 of the family's 1533-position model. The record is from RNAcentral.
UACGUAGGGUGCAGGCGUUAAUCGGAAUUACUGGGCGUAAAGCGCACGUAGGCGGAUUUGUAAGUCAGGGGUGAAAUCCCGGGGCUCAACCUCGGAACUGCCUUUGAUACUGCAAAUCUCGAGUCCGGAAGAGGUGAGUGGAAUUCCUAGUGUAGAGGUGAAAUUCGUAGAUAUUAGGAAGAACACCAGUGGCGAAGGCGGCUCACUGGUCCGGUACUGACGCUGAGGUGCGAAAGCGUGGGGAGCAAACAGG